CCUACGGGAGGCAGCAGUGAGGAAUAUUGGUCAAUGGACGAGAGUCUGAACCAGCCAAGUAGCGUGAAGGAUGACUGCCCUAUGGGUUGUAAACUUCUUUUAUAUGGGAAUAAAAUGUUCCACGUGUGGGAUUUUGUAUGUACCAUAUGAAUAAGGAUCGGCUAACUCCGUGCCAGCAGCCGCGGUAAUACGGAGGAUCCGAGCGUUAUCCGGAUUUAUUGGGUUUAAAGGGAGCGUAGGUGGAUUGUUAAGUCAGUUGUGAAAGUUUGCGGCUCAACCGUAAAAUUGCAGUUGAAACUGGCAGUCGUGAGUACAGUAGAGGUGGGCGGAAUUCGUGGUGUAGCGGUGAAAUGCUUAGAUAUCACGAAGAACUCCGAUGGCGAAGGCAGCUCACUGGACUGCAACUGACACUGAGGCUCGAAAGUGUGGGUAUCAAACAGGAUUAGAUACCCCAGUAGUC
This 460-nucleotide ribosomal RNA is filed under the name uncultured bacterium. Its description in RNAcentral is "partial 16S ribosomal RNA". It matches the Rfam family "Bacterial small subunit ribosomal RNA", at positions 338 to 795 of the family's 1533-position model. The record is from RNAcentral.